RNAcentral lists this ribosomal RNA (301 nucleotides) under uncultured bacterium. Its description in RNAcentral is "partial 16S ribosomal RNA". It matches the Rfam family "Bacterial small subunit ribosomal RNA", at positions 509 to 807 of the family's 1533-position model. The record is from RNAcentral.
CAGUCGCCGCGGUAAUACGAAGGGUGCAAGCGUUACUCGGAAUUACUGGGCGUAAAGCGUGCGUAGGCGGUUUGUUAAGUCUGUUGUGAAAUCCCCGGGCUCAACCUGGGAAUGGCAAUGGAUACUGGCAAGCUAGAGUGUGUCAGAGGAUGGUGGAAUUCCCGGUGUAGCGGUGAAAUGCGUAGAGAUCGGGAGGAACAUCAGUGGCGAAGGCGGCCAUCUGGGACAACACUGACGCUGAGCCACGAAAGCGUGGGGAGCAAACAGGAUUAGAUACCCGCGUAGUCCCUGUCUCUUAUAC